GAUGAACGCUAGCUACAGGCUUAACACAUGCAAGUCGAGGGGAAACGAUAGAGAAAGCUUGCUUUUUCUAGGCGUCGACCGGCGCACGGGUGAGUAACGCGUAUCCAACCUGCCCACCACUUGGGGAUAACCUUGCGAAAGUAAGACUAAUACCCAAUGACGUCUCUAGAAGACAUCUGAAAGAGAUUAAAGAUUUAUCGGUGAUGGAUGGGGAUGCGUCUGAUUAGCUUGUUGGCGGGGUAACGGCCCACCAAGGCGACGAUCAGUAGGGGUUCUGAGAGGAAGGUCCCCCACAUUGGAACUGAGACACGGUCCAAACUCCUACGGGAGGCAGCAGCGAGGAAUAUUGGUCAAUGGACGAGAGUCUGAACCAGCCAAGUAGCGUGCAGGAUGACGGCCCUAUGGGUUGUAAACUGCUUUAUAAGGGAAUAAAGUGAGUCUCGUGAGACUUUUUGCAUGUACCUUAUGAAUAAGGACCGGCUAAUUCCGUG
Molecule: ribosomal RNA, 491 nt
Filed under: uncultured bacterium
Lineage: Bacteria
Description: bacterial SSU rRNA
Rfam family: Bacterial small subunit ribosomal RNA
Source: RNAcentral